GGCUCCUUCAACCCCUGAGAUCUUAAACAAAAUCUCUGGCUUUUCUUCUGACCUGGGAAGGAGGAACUCCGGCUGCGGUGGCCGUGUGCUGUGAACAGAAAGAACCCGGUGACAAGGGGGUAGGGGGAGGCAGCUGAUACUGUGGUUCUGGGAACAAACUGGCCUCUUCAGCCUGGGCUCAUGUUAGAAUUUUGUUCCCCCUGGCUUGUUGGAAGGAGCAGAUGGCCCAGCAUGGGACAAAUGUGAUCCAUAAUGCAAGGAAUGAGGAAACAUGUAGCCCAAACUAGCCUGUAACUCACUAUGUGGUAACUCCUGAUCCUCCUGCCUCCUCGUGCCAAGUGCUGGUACACCAGGCAUGUGCUGCCACCCAGCGAGGCCAGCAGUCUACCAACUGAGCUAACUGCCAGCUGCUGCCCUUCCAAUUCCAAGCCUGGAAGAUGUGAGUAGCACAGGGCGAGAUUUCUGACCCACAACACCUCCCAUCCCAGCACUGGAGACUGAAGCAUGGAUUCUGAGGCCAGCCUGGGCUACCAAAGAAGACUGUGUUUUAAAAAGAAAAAGAAAAAAAGAAAAUUAAAAUGGACUAACCCUCGAGUGCUCAGAGAGCAGCAGGGGGCCUACCGGGCUCCGCCCACUGCUACAAUGCUUCCCCUUCGAGGUCACUAGGCUACUACCCAGUCGUUGAAGAGGAGUAUAGCUCUGACACCAUGCCAGCAGUUUAAACUGGAUACAGGAGAACUUGCAUGUAAGAGCCACUUCCAGAAGGUCCCAAGAGCACAGAGAUGGGGUGGGGAGUGAAUGGGCACCUCGAACCCUUGUCCCCAUCCAGGGGUGGGAGGGGAUUAGUGUAGGAUGGGAGCAGAGCAUCUUAGUGCAUUAUGGAAAGCUCUGAAGUGGGGGGUCCAGUGACUGCUCUGCUGUCCACAGCCGUGGGCUAGGACAGAUACGGUGGGGACAGUGACAAGGGAGACCAGCAGUCCUGUGGCUGUGGCUGUGUGUGGCCAAGCCAGUGAGACCCUGGGCAUGGCUGGCAUUGUUUAUACGAAUGUGAAUUCUGGGGUCGCCCUGUUUGUGCUCUGAGCUGAGUAAGGCUCUCAACAUAAAUGAGGGAGGCAGGGCCCAGCAAGAUGGCUCAGCAGGUAAAGGUGCUUGCAGCCAGGUCUUGAUGACCCAAGUUCAAUUCCCAUUUGAUGGAAAGAGAACUGACUCCCCUCAAGUGAUCUCCACAUGUGUGUGGAUGCAUUCACAACAGAUAAAUAAUAGCUAAUAAUAGCUAAUAAAUUGUCUUUUUUCUUUUUUCUUUUUGUCUCUCUCUCUCUCUCUCUCUCUCUCUCUCUCUCUCUCUCUCUCUCUCUCCCUAGUUUUUCGAGACAGGGUUUCUCUGUGUAGCCCUGGCUGUCCUGGAACUCACUCUGUAGACCAGGCUGCCUUGAACUCAGAAAUCCAACUGCCUCUGAAUCCCAAAUGCUGGGAUUAAAGGCGUGUGCCACCACUGCCCGGCUCUUUCUCUCCUUAUUAACUACCCACCAUUAAAAGUGGUGAAGAUUGAGUUCAUGGACCAACUAACAACAUGUCAGAAAAUGUUUCUACAAGCAAGCCACACUCCCAUGAUGAAUACAAGGUUGCCGGAGUCCUGUAGCUUGAUAUGGAAAUUAGGGGUCUGGUUUUGCAUAUGUAGCAUCAAGGGCUAGAAAGACUGGGAUCUGAACCCAGGGCUGACUCUAGAGACCUCGUCUGAGAGUCCAGUCUUUGUGCAUGUAUGGGGGUGCAUAUGCACCCCUGCCUACGUAAGAGGUCAUAGGAUCACUUCUGUGUGAGUCAUGUUUCCUUCCACCACACGGGUCGUAGAGAUCCAGUUCAGGUUGUCAGGCCAGGGAGCAAACCCCGAGCUUGCUGGUGCAGGCAGGCCGGUUGGCCUGUGAAUCCCAAGGUCUGGUCUCUAUCUCCCUAGGUUUUUACAGAUCGGCCCAGCUUUGCCAGGCAGGUCACACCGGUACCAGGGAUCCGAGUUCAGGUCUUCACACUCGCCUGCCAGCACUACCCACCCCUGUGAGCUGUGUCUAUGUCCAAAGGUGGAGUUGAGCCUGUGAGUCUUCAGAUCCCUGGCCCUGCCAGGAGGAUGCACACACUCACCUCUCCCUCUUGGCUCGGAGUCUCUGCUCUUCAUAUCUGAGAGAGAGAGAGAGAGAGAGGCAGGUUCAGUGAGUGAGAUGCGGGAAGGAUAGGACCCUGCCCCAAGCUGUCAGGGCCACAGAGGCCAGGCAAAGGGGACUGGGGAUACAGAUGGGGACUGAGCUCCAGUGUGGGGUUGGCUGAACUGGGUGUUGAGAUGAGGUUUCAGUGGUCAGUUUUCUGUAAUAUGUAACUUUUAACUUGAUUUAUUUAAGGUUUAUUUAAUGAUAUUAAAUUGAGUGUGCUUAUAGUGCAGUUCCCACAGUGGCCAGAAGGGGCAUCAGGUGCCCAGGAGCUGGAGUUCCAGGUGUUGUGAGCCACUGUGUUGGUGCUGGGAACCGAACCCCUGUCUUUUGAAGGAGGAGUGGGUGUGAUAACCACUGAGCUGUCAUUCCCCGACAUAGUCACCCCCAAACUCAGGGACGCUAAGGCCGAAGGGGCACUUACUGCAGGACACAGUCUGGCAGCUGCACAUGUUCCAUGGGAAUCAGUCGCUCCAGCUCUUCCAGGCUGUGCACGUACUGGAUUUUACUAAUGAAUUUGACACUGAGGGAGACAAGAGGGUAGACAAGGGGUCACCAGACAGAGCCAGACUCUGCCCCACCUAGCCUGCCAAGUUGCCCAUGCUGGCCUCGAACCCACUAUCCUCUUGUCUCAGCUUCCUCCCCAGACUUUUCUCAUGGAUUGUCCCUGUGUGGACUAUGAUGAACAACAAACACGUCAGAUGUGGUAUUUUAGAAUUUUUUUUACAUUUAUUCAUGGUGUGUGCAUAAAUAAAAGUCAAGAGAACAGC
RNAcentral lists this long non-coding RNA (2965 nucleotides) under Mus caroli (Ryukyu mouse). RNAcentral describes it as "ataxia, cerebellar, Cayman type, opposite strand (MGP_CAROLIEiJ_G0002529.1)". Lineage: Eukaryota; Metazoa; Chordata; Mammalia; Rodentia; Muridae. The record is from RNAcentral.